Ostrinia nubilalis (European corn borer) is the source of this 1410-nucleotide long non-coding RNA. RefSeq lists it as uncharacterized. The record is from RefSeq and is a predicted model, not a curated record. NCBI's taxonomy places the organism in Eukaryota, Metazoa, Arthropoda, Insecta, Lepidoptera, Crambidae. The transcript has 3 exons.
UACGUUUACACGCUUGCCAAGCCUUCGCAAGCGGCAAACAGCUCCAAGCCUCCACAAAUCUCGUUUGGCGUUUGAAAGGAGUUUACACGCUUGGGAACGCGUCAGUCUGCAAGAUAGAUCCAAGCAUGGCGGACACCGAACUUGUAACGGCUAUUGCAUUUGGUUUAUCGUACUUUUAUUUAAAAUGCAAGCAAAGUGAAACAAAAAAAAGAAAAACUCGACGACAACGAAGAUGGUGGAUGAAAAAGAUUCAUCGAAAUCGUACCAGACAAUUUAUAGAAGAGAAAUUUAAUGAACUUUUAUAUGAACCUUCUGGCGAGUUUGAUAACUUCUGCCGAAUGAGCUAUACCGAUUUUGAAUUUUUACUGCAGAAAAUUUCACCAAUGAUAUCCAAGCAAGAUACAGACUUCAGAGAUGCUAUACCGGCCAAAUUUCGUCUUGCCAUUACGCUACGAUUUUUAGCAUCUGGUGAUUCUUACAAAAGCCUUCACUACAUGUUUAAAGUAUCUGUCUCUAUGAUAUCAAUAACCAUUCGUGAAGUUUGCCGAUCUCUUAAUGAAAUUCUAAAGGAUCUAGUUAAGAUGCCCACCACAGCAGAAGGAUGGCUUAAUAUUGAAGAAGGAUUCAGGACCAAAUUUCCACAUUGCAUAGGGUCAUUGGAUGGCAAGCAUGUAGUCAUUGAAAGCCCAACUCAUAGUGGAACAGAAUAUUUCAAUUAUAAAAAAACUUUUAGCAUUGUCCUUUUGGCGUUAGUGGAUAGCAAAUACAAAUUUGUAUUUGCAGACAUCGGGAGUCAAGGAAGAAUAAGUGACGGUGGCGUGUUUAAUAAUUGUUUACUAUGGAAAAGAAUAUGUAGGAACGAGAUAGAUUUUCCACCGCCAUGUCCACUUCCAGGAUCGAAUAUUAAUAUUCCAUACGUGUUUUUAGCUGACGGUGCUUUUGCAUUGAGUCAACACGUAAUGAAGCCCUACCCUGGAAACCAUGAAGUAGGCUCACCAAAAAGGCUAUUUAACCAAAACUUAUCUAAAUCCCGAGUUGUAGUUGAAAAUACGUUUGGAAUUUUAACCUCGGUUUUUAGAAUAUUCAGACGUCCUAUCGAUUUAGAACCACAAACUGUGACAGAAUUUACGAUGACUUGUGUAUUACUACAUAACUUUUUGAGAACAAGUAAAAGUUCUUCAAAUCGAUAUAUUCCUCAGGGUUCGUUAGACGUAUAUGACAGUAGUGGAAAUAUGGUUACACCUGGUUCAUGGCGCAGAGAUAACGACGGAUAUAAUGCAUUGCAAACAUUACCACAAAUACCACGAAGAUCUCCGCUGAAUGCCAAAGAAGUCAGAGAAGAAUUUACUUCAUAUUUUAAUAGGAUUGGAUAAGUUGAUAAAAAUGUAUAAAUAAAUUUAUAAUAAGUAA